This 253-nucleotide ribosomal RNA is filed under the name uncultured bacterium. Its description in RNAcentral is "partial 16S ribosomal RNA". It matches the Rfam family "Bacterial small subunit ribosomal RNA", at positions 524 to 776 of the family's 1533-position model. The record is from RNAcentral.
UACGUAGGGUGCAAGCGUUAAUCGGAAUUACUGGGCGUAAAGCGUGCGCAGGCGGUUGUGCAAGACAGGUGUGAAAUCCCCGGGCUUAACCUGGGAACUGCACUUGUGACUGCACAGCUGGAGUACGGCAGAGGGGGGUGGAAUUCCACGUGUAGCAGUGAAAUGCGUAGAGAUGUGGAGGAACACCGAUGGCGAAGGCAGCCCCCUGGGCUAACACUGACGCUCAUGCACGAAAGCGUGGGGAGCAAACAGG